GUUGCCAGCGAGUAAUGUCGGGAACUCAAAGGAGACUGCCGGUGAUAAACCGGAGGAGGGUGGGGAUGACGUCAAGUCAUCAUGGCCCUUACGAGUAGGGCUACACACGUGCUACAAUGGCAUAUACAAAGAGAAGCGAACUCGCGAGAGCAAGCGGACCUCAUAAAGUAUGUCGUAGUCCGGAUUGGAGUCUGCAACUCGACUCCAUGAAGUCGGAAUCGCUAGUAAUCGUAGAUCAGAAUGCUACGGUGAAUACGUUCCCGGGCCUU
This 269-nucleotide ribosomal RNA is filed under the name uncultured Enterobacteriaceae bacterium. Its description in RNAcentral is "partial 16S ribosomal RNA". It matches the Rfam family "Bacterial small subunit ribosomal RNA", at positions 1114 to 1382 of the family's 1533-position model. The record is from RNAcentral. Lineage: Bacteria; Pseudomonadati; Pseudomonadota; Gammaproteobacteria; Enterobacterales; Enterobacteriaceae.